GUAAAGGCUGGGAAGAGGAGUAGUAACAGAGGUACAUCCUUGAGAGAGCCGGUGGGUGGUGCGAACCGGUGGAUGGAAACUGUGAACUCGCCUUGGAGCCGCUCCGGUGAACCGCCAGUAGUCGGAGACGAGUUAUCCACGUAACGGAUCAAUUAAGGUUUGCAGCUCGCUGCAAACGAAGUAGGGUGGUACCACGAAAGCUACGCGCCUUCGUCCCUGCA
Molecule: non-coding RNA, 221 nt
Filed under: Trichlorobacter lovleyi
Lineage: Bacteria; Pseudomonadati; Thermodesulfobacteriota; Desulfuromonadia; Geobacterales; Geobacteraceae
Description: Geobacter lovleyi T-box sequence
Rfam family: T-box leader
About the family: Uncharged tRNA acts as the effector for transcription antitermination of genes in the T-box leader family. T-boxes are found upstream of many aminoacyl-tRNA synthetase genes and some amino acid biosynthetic genes usually in Gram-positive bacteria.
Source: RNAcentral